This 302-nucleotide ribosomal RNA is filed under the name uncultured bacterium. RNAcentral's name for it is "bacterial SSU rRNA". It matches the Rfam family "Bacterial small subunit ribosomal RNA", at positions 1088 to 1397 of the family's 1533-position model. The record is from RNAcentral.
CGCACGAAGCGCACCCUUGCCAUCAGUUGCUACGAAAGGGCACUCUGAUGGGACUGCCGGUGACAAACCGGAGGAAGGUGGGGAUGACGUCAAGUCCUCAUGGCCCUUAUAGGUGGGGCUACACACGUCAUACAAUGGCCGGUACAAAGGGCAGCCAACCCGCGAGGGGGAGCCAAUCCCAUAAAGCCGGUCGUAGUCCGGAUCGCAGUCUGCAACUCGACUGCGUGAAGUCGGAAUCGCUAGUAAUCGUGGAUCAGCAUGUCACGGUGAAUACGUUCCCGGGUCUUGUACACACCGCCCGU